Molecule: unclassified non-coding RNA, 1354 nt
Filed under: Pomacea canaliculata
Lineage: Eukaryota; Metazoa; Mollusca; Gastropoda; Architaenioglossa; Ampullariidae
Description: profilin-4-like, transcript variant X1
Source: RNAcentral
ACAGCGACUAGAGAGGGCGACACCGUCACUGCCCAGAUCAUGGGUCAUGGGUCACCGGUCACAGGUCAUGUUCACGGCGGCAAGUGGAAGGUGAAGCUGCCCGCUGUGACAGAAGCCAGACCUUUCGUCAGCUCCAGCGAGGGACAGGUCACUCUCAACGACGUGCUCUUCGGUGACGUGUGGCUGUGCUCUGGGCAGAGCAACAUGGAGUCUCAAAUGAUGCAGGAUUCCAUCAAAAUGUCUCAGCUUCAAAAUCUACUCCAUGAUGCCCUAAUAGCCACAGAGAAUGUCCAGCAGUGUGCUAUUAUCCGGCGCAAGGACAACAUGGUUCGAGCUUCAUCGGUCGGUUUCAAUCCAUAUCAAGAUCAGAUACAGAUGCUUCAGGAUGCUUUCAAAAAUCCACCACAGACACGAGAGGAAGGCCUGUACUUUGAUGAUAAACAGUACAAAUGUGUUCGCGCUGACAAAAAUUCUAUUUAUGCAAAGUGUGGCAAAAAAGGACUGAUUCUGGUGAAAACUUUGUCUCUUCUUCUGGUGGCAACAUAUACAGAAAACAUGUUCCCAGGUGUAUGUGUAGAAGCUGUGGAGAAGCUGGCUGACUACUUCAAAGAGAAAGGAAAGUGACGAAAUGGAAUUCAUUUAAACAAUGAAACUUAACCAUCUCAUGGAUGAGUGACCAGACCAGUGGUAUGGUCCAUUUUCUUUGGGUCUUCGCCACCUCACCCACCCACUAGUUUACAUUCUGGAUCUACACGAGUCAAGAAGUGCAGAGUUGAUUUUCUGAUCUCUUACCUACAGUCCUGCCUCCUACAUCUAUUUUCUUCACUGCCACUGUGUUGAUGCAACCUCCGUGAUAGUUAUAUGUGCGCCAUCAAUGAACAACUUCAUGUUAGUUGUGCUAAUAUUCCUACUGAUACUACAGCCACAAAUCACAGCUGCAAGUUGUGAUGGCAUUCACCUUAAAAACACAAUAAACUCUUUGUUUUCAGACUAUUAUUAUGUCUGUGUGUUUUCUUCUCUGUAAUACAGGUUGCUCGAGUGCUCAGACUUUUCCAGCAGUCAGCAUAUAUAUCCUACAAAAUUUUACUCUUACUACAUUCUUAUUUCUUAUUAUAUGAUUUACCGCUUAUUUUAAAUCAUCUUUGAUAAUAUUAUCUGCAUGCCAUUCAUCACUAAAUGAUGAACAUUUGAAGCAGGUCUUUUAGUAAUGGCUUUUAAUGAUUACAUGGAUCUGUUGAUACAGUGAGAAAGGCUGUACUCUUCCAGACCUGCAAAUGUGGCAUGUACAUAAAGUGAUGUUUAUUUUUCUUUGCAUUAUCUGCAUUUUGUCUACAAUUUUCCAGUGCCUUAACAA